GUGCUCACUUCAUCAGCACAUAUACUAAAACUGGAACUAUACAGAGAAGAUAAGCAUGGCCCCUGUGCAGGGAUGGUACACAAAUUCAUCAAGCAUUCCAUGUUUUU
RNAcentral lists this small nuclear RNA (107 nucleotides) under Dasypus novemcinctus (nine-banded armadillo). Lineage: Eukaryota; Metazoa; Chordata; Mammalia; Cingulata; Dasypodidae. The record is from RNAcentral.